Molecule: long non-coding RNA, 1408 nt
Filed under: Cricetulus griseus (Chinese hamster)
Lineage: Eukaryota; Metazoa; Chordata; Mammalia; Rodentia; Cricetidae
Description: lncRNA (ENSCGRG00015031065.1)
Source: RNAcentral
CUCUUUGACUCCUAGUCCUUGCUUGCCAUUGGCCAAACAGUAUUUUAUUCAACAGUCAAUAAGAUAAACAUACAAAGAAGUGCAUUCCCCAUCAAGAGCCCUGCUUAGGAAUGUGAUCAUGUGAGGGUAAUUCUAAGUACUUAUGAGAAAAUUCCAAGGAAACGGGACAAGAGUUUUAAGACCUCAGUUUUUUCAAAACACAGAACUGUGAGCCAGGCAUGGUGCAAGCCUUUAAUCCCAGCACUUGGGAAGCAGAGAGUAUUAAUUGAUGUCCUGGAUGAAGUUGGCUACUGCAUGAGACUUUAUUCUGCCACAUUUAUCGUCUCCAUUCUUCCAUGUCCCACCACCUCUAGAGCAGUGACAAGUGGUAUCUGAAGUGGUAUCUGAAGAGGAAUCUGGUCAAAUACUUGAUAACAGCGUGGGGACCCUCACAGAAGCAUGGUCUUGACCCCUUUGCUCAUCACUCCUCCAUCUCUACAACUGGAUUCAAGGAGUUCAGCUCAGUGCUUAGCUGUGAAUCUCUGCUUCUGCUUCCAUCAGCUACUGGAUGAAGGCUCUAUGAUGACAUUUAAGGUAGACAUCCUUGAUUCUGAAAGACCCCUGCCCCUUAGCCCUUUCUUUCUCAAGUUUGUCUCCUCUUCCUCCUGUUGGCGGCUUCCCCGAUCCCCACCCCCGGUGGCCUUCCCCCGCCACCCGCCGCAUGCCUGGCCCGAGAACAAGCACCAGGUGGGCCGGCCCGAGAACGAGCACCGGGUGGGCCAGCACGAGGGCGAGCACCAGGUGGGUCGGCACGAGAACAAACACCAAGUGAUCCGGCCUGGAGCCCUGCCCCUGAGCCCCCGCCAGAAGAGAAACACUCCGUCCCAAGGUCUCCGCCCCCAAGGUCAGCCAUCAGGAAGCGGAGGGGAGGGGAAUUGAGUCUGCUGUACCAGACACCAGACCUUGAGAAUAUGCUGAUCUGGAAUGGCUCUGUGUCUCAUUUGAACCAUCCAAUAGAAAUGAUUCUGUAUUUCGCCUCAUUUGAAAGACUCUAUGUUUCACCUCAUUUGAAUAACUCUGUACUUUGCCUCAUUUGAAUAACCCUGUAUAGCGCCUCAUAUACAUUGACCAAUGGGAAUAGCUCUGUAUAAUGCCUCAUUAGAAUUAUCCAAUAGAAUCCCUGCUCCUAGCUUGCGCCUUUUUCCCUAUAUAAGGACCCCUUUCCCUUGGCUCGGGGCGCUUAGCCACACAGAAGCUAAGUCGCCCCGGGUACCCGCGUCUCCAAUAAAGCCUCUUGUUUUUGCAUCCAAGUUCAUGGCCUCGCUGAUUCCUGGGUGUGGGUCUCCCUCUACGAAAGUACCUCUUUGGGGGUCUUUCAAUUCUUUUUCAUUUGUUUUGUUGGCAUAGGCUCCCACUGUGUUGCUCGGGG